GAGGGUAUAGCUCAAUUGGUAGAGUGCUUGCUUCUCAUGCAUGAGGUCCUGGGUUCAAUCCCCAGUACCUCCA
RNAcentral lists this transfer RNA (73 nucleotides) under Camelus bactrianus (Bactrian camel). It matches the Rfam family "tRNA". From Rfam's summary of the family: Transfer RNA (tRNA) molecules are approximately 80 nucleotides in length. Their secondary structure includes four short double-helical elements and three loops (D, anti-codon, and T loops). Further hydrogen bonds mediate the characteristic L-shaped molecular structure. tRNAs have two regions of fundamental functional importance: the anti-codon, which is responsible for specific mRNA codon recognition, and the 3' end, to which the tRNAs corresponding amino acid is attached (by aminoacyl-tRNA synthetases). tRNAs cope with the degeneracy of the genetic code in two manners: having more than one tRNA (with a specific anti-codon) for a particular amino acid; and 'wobble' base-pairing, i.e. permitting non-standard base-pairing at the 3rd anti-codon position. The record is from Rfam by way of RNAcentral. Lineage: Eukaryota; Metazoa; Chordata; Mammalia; Artiodactyla; Camelidae. RNAcentral also lists the same sequence under 2 other names.